GAUGAAGAACGUAGCGAAAUGCGAUACUUGGUGUGAAUUGCAGAAUCCCGUGAACCAUCGAGUCUUUGAACGCAAGUUGCGCCCGAAGCCACUAGGCCGAGGGCACGCCUGCCUGGGCGUCACACGACGUUGCCCCCCCAUCUACUCCUUCGGGAUUGCGGGGGGGCGGAUGAUGGCCUCCUGUGCGCCUAGCCGCGCGGUUGGCAUAAAUACCAAGUCCUCGGCGACGCACGCCACGACAAUCGGUGGUUGCGAAACCUCGGUUGCCCGUCGUGUGCGUUCGUCGCGCAUCGAGGGCUCGAAAAAAUGCUCGGCUCCGGCUGGGCUUUCAACGCGACCCCAGGUCAGGCGGGGUUACCCGCUGAAUUUAAGCAUAUCAAUAAGCGGAGGA
This 391-nucleotide unclassified non-coding RNA is filed under the name soil metagenome. Its description in RNAcentral is "partial contains 5.8S ribosomal RNA, internal transcribed spacer 2, and large subunit ribosomal RNA". The stretch from base 1 to 122 matches the Rfam family "5.8S ribosomal RNA", at positions 35 to 154 of the family's 154-position model. The record is from RNAcentral.